Molecule: ribosomal RNA, 253 nt
Filed under: uncultured bacterium
Lineage: Bacteria
Description: partial 16S ribosomal RNA
Rfam family: Bacterial small subunit ribosomal RNA
Source: RNAcentral
UACGUAGGGUACUAGCGUUGUCCGGAUUUAUUGGGCGUAAAGGGGUUGCAGGUGGUUUUUCGCGUCUGUCGUGAAAUCCUGUGGCUUAACCAUGGGCUUGCGGUGGGUACUGGAAGGCUUGAGUGCGGUAGGGGAGGCUGGAAUUCCUGGUGUAGCGGUGGAAUGCGUAGAUAUCAGGAGGAACACCGGUGGCGAAGGCGGGUCUCUGGGCCGUUACUGACACUGAGGAGCGAAAGCGUGGGGAGCGAACGGG